RNAcentral lists this long non-coding RNA (205 nucleotides) under Elaeis guineensis (African oil palm). Its description in RNAcentral is "long non-coding RNA (EGUI_LNC055489)". Lineage: Eukaryota; Viridiplantae; Streptophyta; Magnoliopsida; Arecales; Arecaceae. The record is from RNAcentral.
AAUCUAUUCAACACCUUACCACAAUCCAGAUGCGACUUUGAUCUUUCCUCCACCAAAUCUAACUCCAGGGCUCUGAUACCAGAUGUUGGGAUCUUCUCUUAUUGUGUCUUGAUCGUGGAACUAGCAACAAGGUUCCAAGAAAAUUAUUGACAACAGAUCUAUCAAACCCUAGAAAAUCCUAGGGCUUAGAGAAGAGAAGGAGAGC